UACGUAGGGGGCAAGCGUUGUCCGGAUUUAUUGGGCGUAAAGAGCGUGUAGGCGGCCAGGUAGGUCUGCUGUGAAAACUCGAGGCUUAACCUCGAGCUGUCGGCGGAAACCAUCUGGCUAGAGUCCGGAAGAGGAGAAUGGAAUUCCCGGUGUAGCGGUGAAAUGCGCAGAUAUCGGGAAGAACACCCGUGGCGAAGGCGGGUCUCUGGACAGUUCCUGACACUGAGACACGAAGGCCAGGGGAGCAAACGGG
This 253-nucleotide ribosomal RNA is filed under the name uncultured bacterium. Its description in RNAcentral is "partial 16S ribosomal RNA". It matches the Rfam family "Bacterial small subunit ribosomal RNA", at positions 524 to 776 of the family's 1533-position model. The record is from RNAcentral.